GUUUGGGCCGGGCUACAGUGUCUUGUCAGCUGUUCAUAUGUACUGUAGUAUACCUGACUGUCCCUUUUUUAAAUUAACGAUUUAAUCAUUUAAAGCGCUGAUGCAGGAGGAGAAGGAUUUUGCAGACUUCACAAACGGCCCUUUGUUAGGACGUUUCGACGCUGUUGGUUUCUCUGACUACACGAGGUAUUACGAGAAAAGUAAGCGAGAUAAAGAGGCACGUUUAUUGGCUGAAGAAGUACAAAGAAUGUCAUUUCGGAGAGAUGAACCACCAACCGUUUGCCAAAAACCUUUUCAGUGGCCGAAAGAAAAUAUUAAAAUACCAUUGCCAACUCAAGAAACCGCUACAUCAUCUACUUUGAAUCCAUCAAUGAAUUCAGAAUUUAGUUUUGCGAGGGGCAGAAGUAUUGCAGCCAUAAAAGAACAUUUUAAUUCACACCAAUCUAGGAAGCCUUCUGCAGAAUUGUUGAAACAAUUUACAACAAAUAGUAAUUCAUCUUCUCUUAGAGCAAAUUCUUUGCCACAUUCAAGAUUUAAUUUCAAUACUCCUGAUGAAUAUGCUGAUUAUCCCUCAAUGCUAAAUACCAAUCUGAAUUCUCAGUAUCAUGUUCAGCAGCCAAUAUCCAAGAACCAAGACCCAAAGAAAACAGUAGGACAAGAAAACAAGAAAACAAACAAUGACACGUCUGAAAACGUGGCUUCAAAGCCUAUGCCAAUGUCAUUUUUACCUGCUGGUAUGCUAACUUCAGCCAAACCAAUGGAACGUCUAAGGAACUACACUCGAAAGGAAGAAAAACUCAGAAGACCAGUUGCAGAGAGUAUCAAGCAGUGCGACAGAUCACAACCUGCUCAGGGUUUGCCAAAUUUCUUUUCAACAGAAAAAGUGAAUUUGAUCAGGGAGGUACCUUCAGAUAGUCAGAAAUCUCAGCCUAGCCCACCUGUUGCUGCUAGUGGUUCAGUUUUGAAUCGCCGGGCAUUACUCUUGAAGAGCGCUCUUGAACGAUCUAAAUCUAAAUGUUUGAAAAAAGAAGUGAUUGAAAAAAGCUGUUUUCCACACUUGCCGACCAUAUCUCCCUCAAACGAUAUCUCCCAACAGAUUCCGCCAAUUCAUGAAAACGACGACAUGACAGAAUUGUUGCAAUUGGCAUCGGCUUCUACUGAAAUCAAGUCAUCCUCUUCCUUUAUUAAAGAAAAUGUACCUAAUAUGCUAAAACUUUCUAAACUAGCAGAGUUAAUAGAAGAAGGUCGCGUGCUUGUUCGUUCUGAUGUUCCCCAUUCAUCAACGCAUAACUUCAAGGAUUUCCCUUUUGAUAUAAGGAUUCAUGAAGUGCUUAACUCCAUGUCUUUUGAGAAACCAAAGACCAUACAAGCCUAUGUGUGGGAAGCAAUCUUGCGUGGUCACAAUGUGGCUUUUGUCGCCGGAGCAAGAGGAGGAAAAACUUUAGGCUACCUGAUACCUAUACUGAAUAAUUUGAUGGACCUGAGUGAAUACAGCGAUGUGCCAAUCGGCUGUUCGCCUUUGGUUGUUGUCAUUUGCUCUUCAUGGGAAAAUGCCGAGUUGGUCCAAUUUUAUUGCUCUCGCAUUAUGAAGAAAAAUUCGGAUUUCCGUUCCGCUGUUUUUACUGAUGCUACCGAACGAUCACUGAAAGUGGCUCUGCCUUAUUUAAUCAAUGGAGUGACUUUGCUUGCCGCCACGGCACCUGCGCUCAAUUUGCUGUUAACAAAAGCUAAAGAUAUCAUUAGUUUUGAUAGAUGCUGUCACCUUGUGUUUGACGAUGCUGACGUCGUGCUUAAAGAACAUGGAGAAUCUACAAAAAAACUGUUUAAUUUUUAUCAAGAAUCUGUUCAACGGGCAACCAUGGGAAAUAACUUUAUUCCUCGACAGAUUGUGGCCUGUGCUAACCAUUGGACAAAAGGAAUGGAAGAAAUCUCUAGUAAAGUUUUGAAAAACCCCUCAAUUUUUAUAUCUUCGUGUAUGGAGGCUGCUAUUUAUGGAGGAAUGAAACUCGAUGUUCGCCGUGGAACCCCUGAAGAAAUGGACCGCGAUCUGUUGGAAAUUGUCCAAUCAAAACGAUUCAGUCGGACCAUUAUCUUUUGUCGUGGAUCUGCCGAAGUCUUCAAAGUUGAACAAAUGCUGUCAGAGAUUGGCGCGACACCCAUCUUAGCUCACAAUCAAUCUAUCGUGUCCGAUUUAGAUUUUACAACCGAAAGGUGGAACCAUGCUCAGCCUGGUUCUGCUAUUCUAAUGUGCACAGACGAUGUUUUAGAGCGAUUGAACAUAAAAAAUGCACAAACUCUAAUUCACUACUUUAUACCACACCAUUCCAAGUACGAUUUUAGUUACCGCCUGUCAUUCGCUAUGGAUAACUUCCACUUGAGAGCUUCGGAAGCUGAUAGACCAGAAACUCAUCUGCUUAUUACAAAAGAGUUUAAUAACUCUCUUCUGACGAUCGUACGUUUAAUGCAGCGCUUUGGGCACGUUGUUCCUGACGAGCUAGCAACUGAAGCUAUACUUUCUUUCUGCGGUAAAGAAGUUCGAAAAAGAAGUCUUCCUUUGUGUGAAACUCUCAAGGCAUUUGGAUUCUGUCGAAAUAUGAAGCUUUGUGGACUCCGUCACGUUAUUCUGUCAACUUUGGACCAACCUGUUGUUCCACAGAACGGCAUUGUUCGUAUUCGGAUUACAGCUGUCCGCACUGCAACACAAUACUACGCUCGGAUUUUGAAGCAUCGAAACGAAAAAAAUCAAGUGAUCGAUAUGAGUGGAUCGCAUUUUGAAGUCAGUGCUCAGUUACGAAAUCAUUUUCGUGAUGAGGCACAGCGAAAGAACUCAGUUGAUGGAAAUAAAGUUGAAAUUGGAAAUAUUUACGCUCAUCGAACCACUGACAACCUUUAUGAACGUGUUCGCGUUGAAUCUAUACUUGAAAGAGAUCACCAAGGAAUUCCGAUUGAAGUCACUGUAAUUUCUAUUGAUCAAGGUUGUGUAAUGUCAUCCUUCGUCAAAGAUCUGUAUGAAAUUCCAGACGAUUUAAAGAAUUUGGCUCCAGAAGCUAUUGAAGUUUUUCUAGUAGGAGCUAAGCCAUUUGAUCGUAACUCAAAUUGGAGCCGUUACUCAGUUGAUUUUGUUCGGGAAAAACUGAUGAGUAAAGAGUUGGAAGGCCGAAUUGUAUUGGCUUUGUCAUUCACUUUAUGGCUAGACCCAUUACAUGAGAGAAAGCGACUGGAUGGCGUGAAUUCCUCUGUUGUUGUGACGGACAUUCUUAAAGAUCUUUUGACAGCAGAGUUGGCAGACAACAACGAGGAGCAUUUGGUAAAGCUGUAUCACUUGUGCGAGACUGGAGGUAUUGAAUUACCGAAUUAUAGCUUUGGAUUGGCUAAAAAUAAAAGCGCAAAUCCUAUCGAACCGUCGUAUGCGUUCCUCCCAAUGAAUGAAGAAACGCAAGUUGAGUUAGUCACCACUGAUUCUCCACACCAGUUUUAUGUUACAAUCAAUAAAUUCCAGGAUACCUUGAGGUCUCUGGAAGCUGAUAUCAAGAAACAAAUAUCUAAAUGCAAAAAUGUGACAUAUGAAGAUGCGCAACUGGGAAGUUUUUGUCUCGUGGAAUCCCCUUCAGAACCUGGAUCGUGGUGCCGGUGCUGCAUAAAGAAGAAAAUAGUUGAAGAUGACGUGUGGAAAUUCCAAGUCUUGUUCGUAGACUAUGGAGAUCAUACAAAAGUUCCUCUAAAUGCAAUGAAAAGUUUACCUAAUCAGUUCAUCAGCCGUUUACCAUUUCAAGCUAUUGCUUGUUCAUUGUAUGGUGUUGGACCCAAGAAUGACAGCGGUGGAUGGACGGAAGAAGACAUUUGUUUUUUCACAUCACUCACGCGAGCCUCCGAUGGAUUUAUGCAUGUGUGGCAUGCCCAGACGAAGUUCAAGGAAGCAGUCAAGGAUGAAGUGACAAAUGGCUCGCACUAUCAUGUCACUCUCUUGAAUCGAGAAGAAAAAGAAAUACCCAGUCUAGCACAACAAAUGAUCUCGAAAAAUUACGCCAUUUCCCUGGAAAAUGAAGAAGACUUUCGUGCAAUCGUACGUAGUUCAGCUACGUUGAUGAAAGACAUUGAAGAGAAAGAAUUGAAGGAUAGAGCUUGUGAAUCACUGCAGCAGUUGGAAUAUGAAGAGGAAUUGAAAUUUGAUGUUUCACCUGGUUGGAUUGAACUGUUCCCAAAAUGCCCGGAGAAUAACGAGAUCCAAGCAAUUUCGACUUCCUGCUCCUCCAACACUGAUUCUUCAGGAACUAUUUCAACGUCGAAAAAGAUGCCUACAUUUCAGCAGACUGUUGGUCGGGAUCAUAAUUUAGCUCUUAUUGACCACACAUUACCUCUAAAAGAAAAUUCGAGUCGAUUUCCUACCACUAAAUGGGCACAAAGUGAACAGGAUGUCAUAAUUACGUUUUUCGUCGAUCACGUUAAAGAAUAUAGUCUUGAGCUUACGGAAAACCAUUUGAGCUUCGUGACUGAUGUAAAUGGUUUAAGAUAUGAAUUAAACACAAGCACAUAUGGUUAUAUCAUUCCGGAAAUAAGUUGCCAUUCCCUUGUUGGUUGCGGGGUUAAAGUAACGCUCCGUAAGCAAGAAAUAGGCGCAAUGUGGACCCGAUUUAUCCAUUCCCCAUUAAAUCAACCUUGGCUAACUCGCGACUUCAGUUAUUGGUUGGACAAUAAUGUUUCCGAUGAUGAAGAAAAAUUAGAGCCAAUUGUGGAUCCAAAAUACGCAUUCGACGAAAACCAAUCUGAAUCAUCAUCAAGCGGUUCAGAUGAAGAGUGUUGUGAUGAAAAGUGGCUAGGUGAAGAUGAUUGAGAACGACUGCUUGGAACGGUCAUACGACAAUCUAGUUUCGAAGAUACUCUAUAAUUUUGUUCGCUCCAUCUGAUAUUAGAGGUUUCCAAGGUCGUUUGUGAUUUGAUGCUGCGCCCUACGUUUUCCCUCGACUGUAUGGCUAGAUCAUCUUUCCUACUACAAUAAAAUCCAUUUUACUACAUA
This 5014-nucleotide unclassified non-coding RNA is filed under the name Daphnia pulex (common water flea). RNAcentral describes it as "putative ATP-dependent RNA helicase TDRD12, transcript variant X5". Lineage: Eukaryota; Metazoa; Arthropoda; Branchiopoda; Diplostraca; Daphniidae. The record is from RNAcentral.